CGAGCAAGGAUGAAAAUCGGACUUAGUGAUCCGGUGGUUCUGCGUGGAAGGGCCAUCGCUCAACGGAUAAAAGCUACCCUGGGGAUAACAGGCUUAUCUCCCCCAAGAGUCCACAUCGACGGGGAGGUUUGGCACCUCGAUGUCGGCUCAUCACAUCCUGGGGCUGUAGUAGGUCCCAAGGGUUGGGCUGUUCGCCCAUUAAAGUGGUACGCGAGCUGGGUUCAGAACGUCGUGAGACAGUUCGGUCCCUAUCCGUCGCAGGCGUAGGAAAUUUGAGAAGACCUGUCCUUAGUACGAGAGGACCGGGAUGGACGUACCUCUGGUGUACCAGUUGUCCUGCCAAGGGCAUGGCUGGGUAGCUAUGUACGGAAUGGAUAAGCGCUGAAAGCAUCUAAGCGCGAAGCCAACUUCAAGAUAAGAUUUCCCACCGCAAGGGUAAGACCCCAGAAAGACUAUCUGGUUGAUAGGUCGAAGGUGUAAGUGCAGCAAUGUAUUUAGCUUAUCGAUACUAAUAGGUCGAGGACUUGACCAAU
This 533-nucleotide ribosomal RNA is filed under the name Clostridioides difficile. RNAcentral's name for it is "partial 23S ribosomal RNA". It matches the Rfam family "Bacterial large subunit ribosomal RNA", at positions 2390 to 2925 of the family's 2925-position model. The record is from RNAcentral. Lineage: Bacteria; Bacillati; Bacillota; Clostridia; Peptostreptococcales; Peptostreptococcaceae.